GACGAACGCUGGCGGCGUGCUUAACACAUGCAAGUCGAGCGGUAAGGCCCUUUCGGGGGUACACGAGCGGCGAACGGGUGAGUAACACGUGGGUGACCUGCCCUCAGCUCUGGGAUAAGCCUGGGAAACCGGGUCUAAUACUGGAUAUGACUCCAUGACGCAUGUUGUGGGGUGGAAAGCCUUGUGCGGCUGAGGAUGGGCCCGCGGCCUAUCAGCUUGUUGGUGGGGGAUGGCCUACCAAGGCGACGACGGGUAGCCGGCCUGAGAGGGCGACCGGCCACACUGGGACUGAGACACGGCCCAGACUCCUACGGGAGGCAGCAGUGGGGAAUCUUGCGCAAUGGGCGAAAGCCUGACGCAGCGACGCCGCGUGAGGGAUGACGGCCUGGUGUAACUCUU
This 399-nucleotide ribosomal RNA is filed under the name uncultured bacterium. RNAcentral describes it as "bacterial SSU rRNA". It matches the Rfam family "Bacterial small subunit ribosomal RNA", at positions 28 to 433 of the family's 1533-position model. The record is from RNAcentral.